RNAcentral lists this ribosomal RNA (443 nucleotides) under uncultured bacterium. RNAcentral's name for it is "partial 16S ribosomal RNA". It matches the Rfam family "Bacterial small subunit ribosomal RNA", at positions 338 to 795 of the family's 1533-position model. The record is from RNAcentral.
CCUACGGGAGGCAGCAGUGGGGAAUAUUGCUCAAUGGGCGCAAGCCUGACCCAGCAACGCCGCGUGAAGGAAGAAGGCUUUCGGGUUGUAAACUUCUUUUCUCAGGGACGAAAAACGUGACGGUACCUGAGGAAUCAGCCACGGCUAACUACGUACCAGCCGCCGCGGUAAUACGUAGGUAGCAAGCGUUAUCCGGCUUUAUUGGGAGUAAAGGGCGUGUAGGCGGGAUCGCAAGUCAGAUGUGAAAACUCAGGGCUUAACCCUGAGCCUGCAUUUGAAACUGUGUGUCUUGAGUGCUGGAGAGGCAAUCGGAAUUCCGGGUGUAGCGGUGAAAUGCGUAGAUAUACGGAGGAACACUAGUGGCGAAGGCGGAUUGCUGGACCGUAACUGACGCUGAGGCGCGAAAGCGUGGGGAGCAAACAGGAUUAGAUACCCUUGUAGUC